AGCUUUGCACAGUGGCAGUAUCGUAGCCAAUGAGGUUUAUCCGAGACGCAAUUAUUGCUAAUUAAAUAUUUUGUGUACUUAUUUCUGAAUACUGUUACACUAACACAUCUUUCUCUGACUAAAAUAUACACAUUU
Molecule: small nuclear RNA, 135 nt
Organism: Canis lupus familiaris (dog)
Lineage: Eukaryota; Metazoa; Chordata; Mammalia; Carnivora; Canidae
Product: U4 spliceosomal RNA
Exons: 1
Source: RefSeq, a predicted model, not a curated record